GCUCAUAGCUGAUUAGGUCUCCCCUUUCCUUGCCAGGCUUGACAGUGCAGAACUCUGAAACAGAAUAUAUUUCCAUCCUGAAGAACAGUGAAAGCAUGUUGGUCUCCAGGCUUCUGGUGAUUCUGUCUUCGCUGUGGCUCGGAUCAGGUAUCGCUCAGAAGGUAACUCAAGCCCAACCAGCAAUACUGGUGCAAGAGAAAGAACCUGUGACCAUGGAUUGCACAUAUGAGGUCAGUGCUACAAGUUACAAUCUCUACUGGUACAAGCAGCCCAGCACUGGGGAGAUGAUCUUCCUUAUUCGCCAGGACUCCUACGGCCAGCACAAUGCAACACAAGGCCGCUACUCACUGAAUUUCCAGAAGGAAAGGAAAUCCAUCAGCCUUAUCAUCUCCACUUCACAGCUGGAAGACUCAGCUGCGUACUUCUGUGCACUGAGAGAUGACACUGUGAGAGGACUCUUGGAGGGAAGUGCACAAAAACUCUGA
Ochotona princeps (American pika) is the source of this 485-nucleotide non-coding RNA. The record is from the annotation of a RefSeq genome assembly. NCBI's taxonomy places the organism in Eukaryota, Metazoa, Chordata, Mammalia, Lagomorpha, Ochotonidae.